RNAcentral lists this ribosomal RNA (451 nucleotides) under uncultured bacterium. Its description in RNAcentral is "partial 16S ribosomal RNA". It matches the Rfam family "Bacterial small subunit ribosomal RNA", at positions 354 to 796 of the family's 1533-position model. The record is from RNAcentral.
GUGGGGAAUAUUGGACAAUGGGGGGAACCCUGAUCCAGCCAUGCCGCGUGUGUGAAGAAGGCCUUUUGGUUGUAAAGCACUUUAAGCGAGGAGGAGGCUACCGAGAUUAAUACUCUUGGAUAGUGGACGUUACUCGCAGAAUAAGCACCGGCUAACUCUGUGCCAGCAGCCGCGGUAAUACAGAGGGUGCAAGCGUUAAUCGGAUUUACUGGGCGUAAAGCGCGCGUAGGUGGCCAAUUAAGUCAAAUGUGAAAUCCCCGAGCUUAACUUGGGAAUUGCAUUCGAUACUGGUUGGCUAGAGUAUGGGAGAGGAUGGUAGAAUUCCAGGUGUAGCGGUGAAAUGCGUAGAGAUCUGGAGGAAUACCGAAGGCGAAGGCAGCCAUCUGGCCUAAUACUGACACUGAGGUGCGAAAGCAUGGGGAGCAAACAGGAUUAGAUACCCUAGUAGUCC